Molecule: non-coding RNA, 74 nt
Organism: Rhamnusium bicolor
Lineage: Eukaryota; Metazoa; Arthropoda; Insecta; Coleoptera; Cerambycidae
Source: the annotation of a GenBank genome assembly
UUCGUGGUCAAGUGGUAAAGACACUUGCCACUCAUUCUGCAGUCCUGGGUUCGAUCCCCGGUCUAGGAUCUAAA